RNAcentral lists this ribosomal RNA (515 nucleotides) under uncultured bacterium. RNAcentral's name for it is "bacterial SSU rRNA". It matches the Rfam family "Bacterial small subunit ribosomal RNA", at positions 996 to 1509 of the family's 1533-position model. The record is from RNAcentral.
UUUAGCAGAGAUGCUUUAGUGCCUUCGGGAACUCUGAGACAGGUGCUGCAUGGCUGUCGUCAGCUCGUGUUGUGAAAUGUUGGGUUAAGUCCCGNAACGAGCGCAACCCUUAUCCUUUGUUGCCAGCACGUAAUGGUGGGAAACUCAAAGGAGACUGCCGGUGAUAAACCGGAGGAAGGUGGGGAUGACGUCAAGUCAUCAUGGCCCUUACGAGUAGGGCUACACACGUGCUACAAUGGCGCAUACAAAGAGAAGCGACCUCGCGAGAGCAAGCGGACCUCAUAAAGUGCGUCGUAGUCCGGAUUGGAGUCUGCAACUCGACUCCAUGAAGUCGGAAUCGCUAGUAAUCGUAAAUCAGAAUGUUACGGUGAAUACGUUCCCGGGCCUUGUACACACCGCCCGUCACACCAUGGGAGUGGGUUGCAAAAGAAGUAGAUAGCUUAACCUUCGGGAGGGCGUUUACCACUUUGUGAUUCAUGACUGGGGUGAAGUCGUAACAAGGUAGGCGUAGUGCU